AGGUCUUGGGAAGUCCACAUUUCUCCACCCUGCUCAGUUUAUCAAGGUCAGGAUGUCUGCACCAUACUCAAGAUUAAGUAUCUGGGGAAAAAGGCAACAGACAUGUGCAGGAAACAGCUGACAGACUUGUGGGCUGUCCUAUCAUCGGUACAGAUGAGACACAGAAAAGUGAUGUAAAAACAUCUAUAUAAGGCACGUCACUUCCUGUCUCUUCCUCUUUCCCUGGAGAGAUGACUCUGACUGGCAGUGUGCUAAGUGUUCCAACAUCUUGGCAUGGUGGCAGCUAUUGUCUGGGUUGGUGGUCUUCAACAGCAGUGUUGUUCUUGUCGAAUCAGUCCUGGUGGUUGCGUUGCUUGGGGCCUAGGACUACCUUUGAUGUUUCUGUCACCACGUCUCUGAACUGCUUCCAUUUUUUGGUUAGGCUUCCAAUGAGUGGUCCCUUGGCAGACAGCUGUCAUCCAGACAGGACUGUAAUGUUUGCAGAUAAAAUGGAUCUCUGAGAUGACUCACAUUGCAAGAAGAGUGAACUGUCUGGGUGCGUUUUGGAUGGCGAGGCACAAUGCGUAUUUGAAGAGUCGCUCUAACCAAUCGGUGGUCUGUCCAGCCUUCAACUCCUCUAAUGGCUCUGGUGAUCUUUACAUCCUGGAUGUCUCGCUGGCUUACAAUGAUGUAGUCAAUGAGAUGCCACUGUUUUGAUCAUGGAUGCAUCCACAUUGUUUUAUAUUUGUUCGCCAUUCUGAACACAGUGUUUGUGAUGGUGAGUUUGAACUCUGAGCAUUUGCUAAGUAGCAGUAGGCCGUUGUUCAUUUUACCCAUGCCGUGUUUGCCGAGCACUCCUUUCCAUCUUUCAUGGUCCUGGCCAACACGGGCUUUGAAGUCUCCCAGUAGUAUCAGCUUGUCAUUUGUGGGCAAUGAGUGCAGGAUGGCGCUCAGGUCAGAGUAGAACUGCUCGAUGGUCUCCUCUGUGCUGGUCAGUGUUGGGGCAUAUGCACUGAUGAUUGUGGCAUACCGGUCUUUGCUGAGAGGUAGGCAGAUCUUCAUGAGCCUCUUGUUGAUGCCCACAGGCAAGUCUGACAGCUGUUUGAGUAAGCUGGUCUAGAAGGCCAGGCCAACACCGUGGAUUUUGUCUUCACUUGUAGCUCUACCUUUCCAGAAGAAGGUUUAUCCAGUGGUGGAUUCGCUGAGUGAUCCCUCUUCUAGUAAGCAUGUUUCGCUUAAGGCUGCGAUGUCGAUGUUAUAUCGCGCCAGUUCUUUACCAAUUAAAGCUGUUCUUCUCUCAGGUCUUGGGCUAUUCUCUCUGUCAAGUAAUGUUCUGAUGGUCCAUGCUCCUAGUAGGAGUUUCCAAAAGCAGUUUCUUUAGAGUUGCCAAUGACUUUUCUUAUUGGGAUACAUAUCAUUUUAACUUAUUGAGUCUCUUAAUAUUUUUGGGUUUUUUUGUUUGCUUUUCUUUUUUCCCCUCUUUUUAAAUUACCUUUUGAUGAUUCUCUUGAAUUCUGUGCU
Molecule: long non-coding RNA, 1500 nt
Filed under: Monodelphis domestica (gray short-tailed opossum)
Lineage: Eukaryota; Metazoa; Chordata; Mammalia; Didelphimorphia; Didelphidae
Description: lncRNA (ENSMODG00000036756.1)
Source: RNAcentral